UUGUCGUUAGAAUAUGAAGCAGCUCCUCCAAGUUUCUGUUGACGGGUUGUUGGUAGUGAAUAGCUUCUUUGCAAGUUUAGACCUUCUCUACCAAAGAAAUAGAAAAAUUAUCAACGCCAGAUCUUCUUCAUGUGUCUCAGCGCUUGCAACGAUACAACUGUGUGAGAGACGGACCCAGGUGGUUAAUAGGAGUGUCAAGUGACACCCUAUAAAAAUAAAAAUGUUAAUGUAAAUGUUCUACUGCACUUUUCAAUUUCAAAUUUACUUAUUUUCAUUUGGACUUUGAGCCCGUAUUAGUUUGUUUUAAAAUUACGGCUAAGGUAUGAUCCAAGUGACUGUGUAUAGAAUCUGCUAACAAGAAGAAAUAUGAGAAGACCAAGUUGAAUCAAAUUCCAAUGAGACCAAGGUAUGAAUCUUAUUGAUGUUCAUGGCGCUUACAACGGAGACCAAGUUGUAGUCAUAUAUUUCGACUCCUUUUUCAGUCAGCCAAUAAUCAAGCAAUGGGCCAACAAGCAGCAAUGUUGCGGCUUGGGGUGGAGCGAACAUUUUUCCGAUAUAAAGUGUGUAUUCUAAUAUGGAUUAUUUGUUGUCGAGAAAGAAUAAAACAGAAGUUUCAGAGUUAGAAAGAGAUCAAUAUCCAUGUAUUAUUUGGUAUUUCUGGAAAGCCC
RNAcentral lists this long non-coding RNA (668 nucleotides) under Brassica napus (rape). Its description in RNAcentral is "long non-coding RNA (BNAP_LNC006751)". Lineage: Eukaryota; Viridiplantae; Streptophyta; Magnoliopsida; Brassicales; Brassicaceae. The record is from RNAcentral.